UUACAGCCAUAUCACUUUGAAACAACUGGUUCUUGUCCGAUCACCGAAGUUAAGCAGCGUUGAACUUGGUCAGUACUUAGAUGGGUGAUCAUCGGGAAUAGCGGGUGCUGUAA
Non-coding RNA from Acanthosepion pharaonis, 113 nucleotides. The record is from the annotation of a GenBank genome assembly. Lineage: Eukaryota; Metazoa; Mollusca; Cephalopoda; Sepiida; Sepiidae.